AACGCACAUUGCGCCCUUUGGUAUUCCGAAGGGCAUGCCUGUUCGAGCGUCAUUAUACAACCUCAAGCCUGGCUUGCUGUUGGACCUCACGUCCUCACCGACGGGUCUCAAAACCAAUGACGGAGUCAAGUUGGACCCAAGAUGCAACGAGCUUUCACAGCACGCAUUGACGGGCCGGCCACUCCUGUCUCAACCCCAAAUUUAUCAAGGUUGACCUCGGAUCAGGUAGGAAUACCCGCUGAACUUAA
Molecule: unclassified non-coding RNA, 248 nt
Filed under: Russula sp.
Lineage: Eukaryota; Fungi; Basidiomycota; Agaricomycetes; Russulales; Russulaceae
Description: partial contains 5.8S ribosomal RNA, internal transcribed spacer 2, and large subunit ribosomal RNA
Rfam family: 5.8S ribosomal RNA (bases 1-52)
Source: RNAcentral